Non-coding RNA from Python bivittatus (Burmese python), 798 nucleotides. NCBI's taxonomy places the organism in Eukaryota, Metazoa, Chordata, Lepidosauria, Squamata, Pythonidae. The record is from RefSeq and is a predicted model, not a curated record.
UGGGAAAGUCUGGUGAACAUGUUACUCCUGAGAUAGAUGGUCAAAGAUUGAAAUCCUACACCCAUUGGCUUGGGAGUAAGACUCACUAAAUCAACAGGUCCUGCUUCUGAUUAGACAUAGGAAGUCCAUGACAGCUCAAGGGAGUCUUAUUUAGUCCUGUGAAUAUGACCUGAAUUCUAGAGGUAAUCAAUAUAUGAAACUGAGAUGUCAUCUUCUGGCCCCGUUGUGGAUUUUGCACUACAGUUUUAAGAAAAAAACCAAGUUUUCCAUUCCUGCCACCUCUGAAGCAGGUCCCUGUCAUGACAUUUGGAGAGCAAGUGUGGCCCUCAGCCUACAAAAGAUCUCCUUUCAUUGUUCCACUAUGCUGGCUCUCCAGUCCAGGGGUAAAUGUGGAUCCCAGGAAACAUUUGCAAUGCUGUGAGGAGUGGAAAGAAGCAUGGAAACUAUGGGAAUUCCACAGGUGAACAAGCAAGCUGGGCAAGCGUGAGCUGGAAAUGGCUCAGAGGGAAAGGGGUUAUGCACCCUCUUCUGACAUUCCUGCCCUCUGCACUGACAGACAACCCAAAGAGAAAAUAAAGCAACAUCUUGGCUGAGCCAAAGAGAAAGAAAAUGCUAAUUCUGUGAUAUUACUACUUUAGAGGUUUUUAAAAAUUAUUAUCUCUUUUAGUUUGGCCUCAAUGAAGGCAACAUCUGAGCAGAGAGAACUGAAAUACCAUUAUAGUCACAGUGGUUAAAAUGAAUAGUCUUGGAGUAGAAUUACAAGGUGUGUUUGAGCCGUGUCUGUAGGCAACACUUGUA